RNAcentral lists this ribosomal RNA (393 nucleotides) under uncultured bacterium. RNAcentral's name for it is "bacterial SSU rRNA". It matches the Rfam family "Bacterial small subunit ribosomal RNA", at positions 30 to 426 of the family's 1533-position model. The record is from RNAcentral.
AUUGAACGCUGGCGGCAUGCCUUACACAUGCAAGUCGAACGGUAACAGGUCUUCGGAUGCUGACGAGUGGCGAACGGGUGAGUAAUACAUCGGAACGUGCCCGAUCGUGGGGGAUAACGCAGCGAAAGCUGUGCUAAUACCGCAUACGAUCUACGGAUGAAAGCGGGGGAUCGCAAGACCUCGCGCGGACGGAGCGGCCGAUGGCAGAUUAGGUAGUUGGUGGGAUAAAAGCUUACCAAGCCGACGAUCUGUAGCUGGUCUGAGAGGACGACCAGCCACACUGGGACUGAGACACGGCCCAGACUCCUACGGGAGGCAGCAGUGGGGAAUUUUGGACAAUGGGCGAAAGCCUGAUCCAGCAAUGCCGCGUGCAGGAUGAAGGCCUUCGGUUGG